This 675-nucleotide long non-coding RNA is filed under the name Arabidopsis lyrata. RNAcentral describes it as "long non-coding RNA (ALYR_LNC003018)". Lineage: Eukaryota; Viridiplantae; Streptophyta; Magnoliopsida; Brassicales; Brassicaceae. The record is from RNAcentral.
GGAAACCAAAGCCCAAAAGAGGGAAGCAUAAGCCGGCGGACGACAUAAAUGUCCCCGGAAACUAGGCGAACUUAAAACACUGGAAAUACAAAGCAAAUAUAGCAACCCGACAACGCAAAAGAACGAAACCAUAAACUAAGAAAGAAGCAGAAGGUAAAAACCUUAAGAAAACCAAUAGACAAAAGAAUACAAGAAAACCACUUCUUCUAAAGCACCUGCGAUUGAGAUUUACCUAGGAUGCCCGCGGCCAAUCCUAAAAUAAUAUCUACCUUCUCCUAUCACGAUGAGAGCUGAUCUCUCGAAACCAAGAAACAAAGACUUCAGAACCCGGCAAGCAAAACCUAUGAAUUGAGAGAACCUCGAGCAUGCUUCCGAAUACGACUACGACGACUGCCACGUCCAACAAUGUCUAACUAGAAAUCAUCAAAAGGCAAACCUAUCUAAACAGAGUCGGGAAAGCAAGACAAGGAGAGAGGCCCAACCUCUCAAAUAUCACCAAUCACAAGAAUGAGAACGACGAUGGAUCGAGACGGUUGUCAAACACAGCGAACAACAUCAGGGAGAAGAAGCAUCUGCAAACAUAAAGGUCUAUCAAUCCAAAACAAACAAACUAAACUUCUUCUUAGCAAGGUGACGAACCCAAAAGAAUUCAAUGGUUAAGACGAGUCGACCAGG